GUUCACAGCCUUCAGAUAAUUGCUCGAGUCAUGGUCUCUGAGAAUUGUACCACCAGAACCAUAUGCUGUAGGGACACUUAGAAUCUCUAAUGGGUGUGGAGAAUUCAAAAAAACUCUGAAAGCUCUCCUAGUAAAUGCACAAUUGGUGCUGUCUAGGGAAUAAAUGCCACUGCCUGGAGGAAGCAGAGGGUGAGGGGCAGAUGACCU
This 207-nucleotide unclassified non-coding RNA is filed under the name Hevea brasiliensis (rubber tree). The record is from RNAcentral. Lineage: Eukaryota; Viridiplantae; Streptophyta; Magnoliopsida; Malpighiales; Euphorbiaceae.